AAUGUUUAGAAUAAUGUGAAAUUCUGUUUAGCACAAAUCAGCUGCAAAGCAAAGAGGGGCUGAAGACUAGAGACGAAAAUGAGAAAUAAUCCGUUUAAAUGUAACCAUCAUUUACCAGGAGCUGAUCAAAUCAACACCAACAUGUCCUGCUGGUGACCGAGGGGAAGGUUAGGCCUUGGCACCAACCCAACCGCCCGCUGAUCUGCAGCAGAUUGAAUUAGAAACUCCGUCAGUGGGAGACUCCGACACUUCCUGCGCGCCACGCUGCGCCGCUGGAUUGGAUCGGCCUCAAAGGAAAUCAUCUCCAACGUCUGCAUCCACAGCAAGCCGCGUCAGGCCAACGCGCUCCGCCUGUCCGACACGCAGAUGGUUCAGGUUCCCUUAAAAUGAAACGCGGUGCAGCGCCGCAGGUGGCCCUUUGAUUAAUUGCACCUGAGGAUAAGCAGCCGAGCUGGAGGCUGAUGCUAACCGCAGGCGCCAUAUUGAGGUAAAGAGCCUAACGUCUUUAUGAAGAGCUAUGAGAGGAAAAAGCUAACAAGACUCCCAACAUUUGGACAUCACUGCUGACAGAAACCUGCCGUCUUGAAUGGUCUGUAGCUGCGAGGAAGCAAGAUGAAAACAAGAUGGCCACAGCUGGAGGAACGACUGAACAGCUGGGAACAUAAAGAACGUUCUGCUGGUGUUCUGACAGUCUGCGUCAGAUUUUCCUACUGCAGCACGUCCAUCAGUCGGUGCUGGAAACAGCUGGAACAUCUGCAGUGGACAGUGACGUUACGUCUCCAUGCUCCGGUAGUUGCCAAGGACUUGGAUAUAAAUGACUCUUCAGGUCUUUUUGGUGUUGCUGCUCCAUGCAAUGCGACCUCCUCUCUGUCACUCUGUCUUUACUGCAUGCGUCUCCGCUGUGCUACGCGCCGCUGCGCACUGUGCUGCCGAAUGCAGCCGUUCCUGACCAUCCUCGUUUAGAACAUGGAGUUUACUGAAAAGGAACUGAACACAAAGUGUCAGCAGUUCAUUUCAUUGACAUGGACGAGGUUUCCUCACACUUAAUGAGUUCUAAAUAAAUGUGACCUUUACUCCA
Gambusia affinis (western mosquitofish) is the source of this 1078-nucleotide long non-coding RNA. RefSeq lists it as uncharacterized. The record is from RefSeq and is a predicted model, not a curated record. The transcript is spliced from 2 exons. NCBI's taxonomy places the organism in Eukaryota, Metazoa, Chordata, Actinopteri, Cyprinodontiformes, Poeciliidae.